This 212-nucleotide long non-coding RNA is filed under the name Elaeis guineensis (African oil palm). RNAcentral describes it as "long non-coding RNA (EGUI_LNC005921)". Lineage: Eukaryota; Viridiplantae; Streptophyta; Magnoliopsida; Arecales; Arecaceae. The record is from RNAcentral.
UUUUCUUUUUCCUUUUUUCUUUUCUUUUCUUUUCUUCUUCUUCCUUUUUCUUUUCAUCUUCCCGGGCUUCCAUUAGGUCGAAACAGGGGAUCUCACAAUCCCCUGUUGGCUGGCCGACCGGCGGUGCCACCAGCAUGGGGUGGCCGUCGGCAGGAGGAGGGGCGACCCAGCUGCAAGAGGAUGGCCAAGCCGGUGGCAAGCGGCGGCCACCA